GUCACACCCGUUCCCAUACCGAACACGGAAGUUAAGCUCUUUAGCGCCGAUGGUAGUUGGGGGCUUCCCCCUGUGAGAGUAGGACAUCGCUAGGC
Molecule: ribosomal RNA, 95 nt
Filed under: Lysinibacillus parviboronicapiens
Lineage: Bacteria; Bacillati; Bacillota; Bacilli; Caryophanales; Bacillaceae
Also listed under: 6 other names
Source: RNAcentral